GGUUAAGCGACUAAGCGUACACGGUGGAUGCCCUGGCAGUCAGAGGCGAUGAAGGACGUGCUAAUCUGCGAUAAGCGUCGGUAAGGUGAUAUGAACCGUUAUAACCGGCGAUUUCCGAAUGGGGAAACCCAGUGUGAUUCGUCACACUAUCAUUAACUGA
RNAcentral lists this ribosomal RNA (160 nucleotides) under Escherichia coli. RNAcentral's name for it is "partial 23S ribosomal RNA". It matches the Rfam family "Bacterial large subunit ribosomal RNA", at positions 1 to 161 of the family's 2925-position model. The record is from RNAcentral. Lineage: Bacteria; Pseudomonadati; Pseudomonadota; Gammaproteobacteria; Enterobacterales; Enterobacteriaceae. RNAcentral also lists the same sequence under 2 other names.